CCAAUUGUAGAAUUAAUCUCGCUAAAUAAAUAAGGCAGUAACAGAAUCAUUCCCCAGCAAUCGUAGCGAUGGACUUGGAAAAUGGAGGCCAUUUCCAUUGCGCCAUUGCUUCCUGCCUCGACUAGUCACGAGGGGGUUCAGGCCGCUCCACGGUGAAAUCAGGUGACAUCGGGUUCCGGACCUAACUGUGAACUGUGUGGUUGGCCAGCAGCUGUGAUAGAUACUUACCAUGGCGUGGCCGUUACGAUUUAAUAUAUCCCUCACUCUUACCGCAAGAAAAUGAAGGUUCGAAGAACGAUGCCUGGUGUGUUGUGCCUGCAGGUACGCAUGCGAGGCCAGUUCCAGUCAACCUCUGGGGCCUACCUGCUCCCUGGUGGAGGAAACGAAACGCCUCUUGACGCCUGAAGCAACCUGCAGGGUUUAGAGACCCUGGCAUACCCGCGGCCGCGUUCCUCCUUUGCUGACAAACAUUGAGCUAGGUGAGACUACAAUACGCACAGGCACAUGGUAGACGGUUGCUUAACUGCUCCCGUUUAUGAAGCUUCACCCUCCUUUUUUCUCAACUAAGUGGGCUUCCGCAUAUUCAUGCUCGCCAAUCCUUUCCCUUCUUCUGUUGCAUCGACCCCUCCAACGCAACCAUGACGCGUUCCGACGACGCGGUGAUGCACCAGCACCAGCACCACCACCAGGGCCCCGCCAGCGAAGGCCCGGGGCCCCCAAGGAGCCCCUCACGGGUACCGGUGCGUCACACAGCCAACACAGUCAGGAUGGGCCCAGCCCCUCCUCAGUUUGCAUCCGCCCCUCCCUCCUUUCCCCUUCCCAUCACACUCACGAAUACGGGACCACGUCCGGCCCCAGUCCCGGGGGGUAUGUAAACGGGGAUACGGGG
This 889-nucleotide long non-coding RNA is filed under the name Volvox carteri. RNAcentral describes it as "long non-coding RNA (VCAR_LNC000451)". Lineage: Eukaryota; Viridiplantae; Chlorophyta; Chlorophyceae; Chlamydomonadales; Volvocaceae. The record is from RNAcentral.